Ribosomal RNA from Arabidopsis lyrata subsp. lyrata, 281 nucleotides. It matches the Rfam family "Eukaryotic small subunit ribosomal RNA", at positions 104 to 385 of the family's 1831-position model. NCBI's taxonomy places the organism in Eukaryota, Viridiplantae, Streptophyta, Magnoliopsida, Brassicales, Brassicaceae. The record is from Rfam.
AAAUAAUGGGAAUAUUGCUGAUUUGGGUAUUAUUUGGCCCAAAACUUUCAAAAAUGGAACAUCUAUCAGGCCUUCAAAUUUGGGUAUUUUUGGAUCAGAGUAAAAGACAAUUUAGCCCCUGUCGACAAACUUCAUUCUUCCUGAUGAUUCAUGAUAACUCGACGGAUCGCAUGGCCUUUGUGCUGGCGACGCAUCAUUCAAAUUUCUGCCCUAUCAACUUUCGAUGGUAGGAUAGUGGCCUACCAUGGUGGUAACGGGUGACGGAGAAUUAGGGUUCUCCU